AUCACCUGAGAAGGCAGUCUCAGUGAGGAGCUGUCACCGUUGGGUUUGUCUGUGCGCAUGUCUGUGAGGGGCUGAUUUUCUUAACUGAGUUGACUGAUGGGGGAAGAUCCAGCCUGCUGUGAGCAGGCACUCCUAAAUUGUGUAAGAAUGAAGAAAUCAAGUUAAGUGUGAUCAAACCAUCAAGUGAACCUUCAUUGCUCCCUGCUCUUGACUGUGGGACUGAUGUGACUUGCCAUUUUAAAUCUACAUGCCUUGUCUUCUCUGUAAGCAUGGACUGUGAUCUGGAACUAUAAGGUCAGUCCAUCCAUACACCUGCCCACUCAUAGAAAGUGUGGUCACCAAGAAGAGCUGCCUACCUGGAACUGUUCUGAGCAUGGCAUCCACCUGCAGCUUUGACAAAGCUAUGUCUCAUCUUGAAAAGCAGACAGCAAGCAAGCAGCUGUGGAAUAAGACAUGGGUGAUUGAGGUAUUCACCCAGCCCAGGGGUAUAUAGAAGAACCAGAGUAAAGUCAUUGUGAUAGCCUUGGA
Molecule: long non-coding RNA, 528 nt
Organism: Mastomys coucha (southern multimammate mouse)
Lineage: Eukaryota; Metazoa; Chordata; Mammalia; Rodentia; Muridae
Exons: 2
Source: RefSeq, a predicted model, not a curated record